Calidris pugnax (ruff) is the source of this 762-nucleotide long non-coding RNA. RefSeq lists it as uncharacterized. Lineage: Eukaryota; Metazoa; Chordata; Aves; Charadriiformes; Scolopacidae. The transcript has 2 exons. The record is from RefSeq and is a predicted model, not a curated record.
GCCUGCGCGUUCGGGGGCACCGGCACAGCACCUCACGGACUGCGGAGCCCUUGCGCUCCGAGAGUCACUCUGUUGAUGUUUAAAUCUCCACGUGCUCCGAAGUAUGUGCAACACAGGGUGUAAAACCGCACCCUCCCCAGCCCCUCCAUCUGGAGAAGAAGGUGCCAGGAUGCCUAAAUAGCAGCAAACGGUCUGCAGCAGCUCUGUCCGUCACACGGCCCAGCGCUGCCUCAGCUGCCAUGGGAAUGUGAGGAGGCACCGCCAGGAAGGACUGCCAGGAGCUGAGGAUGGACUCCUGCAUUCAGCCUGCAAGAUACUGCUAGGUGUAGCUGCCCGUCAGAGCAACGCAAGGGGGACCUGAAUUUGAAAGUGUUCGAUUUAAAUUAGCUUUAAAGGGAAAAUCUGCACCCAGGGAGGUGCUGCCCAAGGAGGGAAGAAGACCUCUAGCAACAGUAAUGCAGCUGUAUUGUAGAGGAUAAUGCUGAGCAAACAGCGAACCCAGCAUUGCUGUCCACAAUGAGGACCUGAGAGCCCACUAGGGUCCAUGUCCCCCUCCCCAGACACAUUCCUCCUCCUGCAUUCUUCAAUAGACGACACAGGCCUGGAACAUUACACCCUAUAACCCAUAUUUUAGACCAACCUGGAGCGUUUCCUUGAAGAGAAGCAAGAAGUUUUGGCAUGUUCUCUGGUCUUAACAGCUUCCCCUACACCCUUCACGUAGAUUCCUUCAAUAAAACCAGCAGUGCUAUUGCUAAAGCCAAA